GCCGGGCACGGUGGUGCAUGCCUGUAGUCCCACCUACUCCGGAGGCUGAGACAAGAGGAUUGCUUGAGUCCAGGAGUUCUGGACUGUAGUGCCCUAUGCUGAUCAGGUGUCUGUACUAAGUUUGGCCCCUGGCAGUGGGGCCACCAGGUUGACAAAAGACAGGUGAACCAACCCAGGUGGGAAACGGAACAGGUCAAAGCUUCCGUGCUGAUUAGCAGUGGGAUCGCACCUGUGAAUAGCCACUGCACUGCAGCCUGGGCAGCAUAGUGAGACCCCAUCUCUU
Otolemur garnettii (small-eared galago) is the source of this 283-nucleotide non-coding RNA. Lineage: Eukaryota; Metazoa; Chordata; Mammalia; Primates; Galagidae. The record is from Rfam.